GACGAGCGCUGGCGGCGUGCUUAACACAUGCAAGUCGAACGGUAAGGCCCUUCGGGGUACACGAGUGGCGAACGGGUGAGUAACACGUGGGUGAUCUGCCCUGCACUUCGGGAUAAGCCUGGGAAACUGGGUCUAAUACCGGAUAGGACUCCUGCCUGCAUGGGUGGGGGUGGAAAGCUUUUGCGGUGUGGGAUGGGCCCGCGGCCUAUCAGCUUGUUGGUGGGGUGAUGGCCUCCAAGGCGACGACGGGUAGCCGGCCUGAGAGGGUGACCGGCCACACUGGGACUGAGAUACGGCCCAGACUCCUACGGGAGGCAGCAGUGGGGAAUAUUGCACAAUGGGCGCAAGCCUGAUGCAGCGACGCCGCGUGAGGGAUGACGGCCUUCGGGUUGUAAACCUCUUUCAGCACAGACGAAGCGCAAGUGACGGUAUGUGCAGAAGAAGGACCGGCCAACUACGUGCCAGCAGCCGCAGUAA
Molecule: ribosomal RNA, 477 nt
Filed under: uncultured bacterium
Lineage: Bacteria
Description: partial 16S ribosomal RNA
Rfam family: Bacterial small subunit ribosomal RNA
Source: RNAcentral